GGGGGGCUGCUCCUAGUACGAGAGGACCGGAGUGGACGCAUCACUGGUGUUCGGGUUGUCAUGCCAAUGGCACUGCCCGGUAGCUAAAUGCGGAAGAGAUAAGUGCUGAAAGCAUCUAAGCACGAAACUUGCCCCGAGAUGAGUUCUCCCUGAGACUUUAGGUCUCCUGAAGGAACGUUGAAGACGACGACGUUGAUAGGCCGGGUGUGUAAGCGCAGCGAUGCGUUGAGCUAACCGGUACUAAUGAACCGUGAGGCUUAACCUUACAACGCCGAAG
RNAcentral lists this ribosomal RNA (277 nucleotides) under Salmonella enterica subsp. enterica serovar Berta str. SA20103550. RNAcentral's name for it is "partial 23S ribosomal RNA". It matches the Rfam family "Bacterial large subunit ribosomal RNA", at positions 2666 to 2925 of the family's 2925-position model. The record is from RNAcentral. Lineage: Bacteria; Pseudomonadati; Pseudomonadota; Gammaproteobacteria; Enterobacterales; Enterobacteriaceae.